Molecule: unclassified non-coding RNA, 329 nt
Filed under: plant metagenome
Description: partial contains 5.8S ribosomal RNA, internal transcribed spacer 2, and large subunit ribosomal RNA
Rfam family: 5.8S ribosomal RNA (bases 1-105)
Source: RNAcentral
GAAAUGCGAUAAGUAAUGUUAAUUGCAGAAUUCCGUGAAUCAUCGAAUCUUUGAACGCACAUUGCGCCCUCUGGUAUUCCGGGGGGCAUGCCUGUCCGAGCGUCAUUGCGAACCCCUCAAGCACGGCUUGUGUGAUGGGCCCUCCCGCGUCUUGGUCGUCAAGACGGGCCCGAAAUGCAGUGGCGGCUUCGCGGUUAUCCGAUCAGCCAGAGCGUAUGGGGACUUUCUCUCUGUCACACGCCCGCGGCGCGGACCGACGCCUGUCGACCUUCAUUCAUCGUUUUCUCGGUUGACCUCGGAUCAGGUAGGGAUACCCGCUGAACUUAAGC